This 73-nucleotide transfer RNA is filed under the name Planctomycetota bacterium. RNAcentral's name for it is "Planctomycetes bacterium tRNA-Val". It matches the Rfam family "tRNA". Rfam says of the family: Transfer RNA (tRNA) molecules are approximately 80 nucleotides in length. Their secondary structure includes four short double-helical elements and three loops (D, anti-codon, and T loops). Further hydrogen bonds mediate the characteristic L-shaped molecular structure. tRNAs have two regions of fundamental functional importance: the anti-codon, which is responsible for specific mRNA codon recognition, and the 3' end, to which the tRNAs corresponding amino acid is attached (by aminoacyl-tRNA synthetases). tRNAs cope with the degeneracy of the genetic code in two manners: having more than one tRNA (with a specific anti-codon) for a particular amino acid; and 'wobble' base-pairing, i.e. permitting non-standard base-pairing at the 3rd anti-codon position. Lineage: Bacteria; Pseudomonadati; Planctomycetota. The record is from RNAcentral.
GGGCGAAUAGCUCAGCUGGUAGAGCGCUUCGUUUACACCGAAGGAGUCGGGGGUUCGAGUCCCUCUUCGCCCA